This 408-nucleotide ribosomal RNA is filed under the name uncultured bacterium. RNAcentral describes it as "partial 16S ribosomal RNA". It matches the Rfam family "Bacterial small subunit ribosomal RNA", at positions 28 to 526 of the family's 1533-position model. The record is from RNAcentral.
GACGAACGCUGGCGGCGUGCUUAACACAUGCAAGUCGAACGACGAGGCGAACGGGUGAGUAAUACGUGGGUAAACCGCCCUCCUUUUUGGGAUUAGCCUUGGAAACCGGGUCUAAUACCCACUUUAGGAGGAUGGGCUCGCGGCUUAUCAGCUUGUUGGUGGGGUGAUGGCCUACCAAGGCGGUGCCGGGUUGCCAGACUGAGCGGGGGAACGGCAACAGUGGGACUGGGAUGCGGCCCAGACUCGGCGGGGGGGGAGCAGUGGGUGAUAUUGCAGAAUGGGUGAAAGCCUGAUGCAGCGAGUCCGAGUGGGGGAUGAAGGCUUUCGAGUUGUAAACCUCUUUCGCUAUCGAACGGUUAGGUGGAGAAGAAGCACCGGCUAACUACGUGCCAGCAGUCGCGGUAAUAC